This 253-nucleotide ribosomal RNA is filed under the name uncultured bacterium. RNAcentral describes it as "partial 16S ribosomal RNA". It matches the Rfam family "Bacterial small subunit ribosomal RNA", at positions 524 to 776 of the family's 1533-position model. The record is from RNAcentral.
UACGAAGGGGGCUAGCGUUGUUCGGAAUAACUGGGCGUAAAGCGCACGUAGGCGGAUUUGUAAGUCAGGGGUGAACUCCCGGGGCUCAACCUCGGAACUGCCUUUGAUACUGCAAGUCUAGAGUCCGGAAGAGGUGAGUGGAAUUCCUGGUGUAGAGGUGAAAUUCGUAGAUAUUAGGAAGAACACCAGUGGCGAAGGCGGCUCACUGGUCCGGAACUGACGCUGAGGUGCGAAAGCGUGGGGAGCAAACAGG